RNAcentral lists this ribosomal RNA (492 nucleotides) under uncultured bacterium. RNAcentral describes it as "partial 16S ribosomal RNA". It matches the Rfam family "Bacterial small subunit ribosomal RNA", at positions 29 to 507 of the family's 1533-position model. The record is from RNAcentral.
AGUGAACGCUGGCGGUAGGCCUAACACAUGCAAGUCGAACGGCAGCACAGUAAGAGCUUGCUCUUACGGGUGGCGAGUGGCGGACGGGUGAGGAAUACAUCGGAAUCUACUUUUUCGUGGGGGAUAACGUAGGGAAACUUACGCUAAUACCGCAUACGACCUACGGGUGAAAGCAGGGGCUCUUCGGACCUUGCGCGAUUGAAUGAGCCGAUGUCGGAUUAGCUAGUUGGCGGGGUAAAGGCCCACCAAGGCGACGAUCCGUAGCUGGUCUGAGAGGAUGAUCAGCCACACUGGAACUGAGACACGGUCCAGACUCCUACGGGAGGCAGCAGUGGGGAAUAUUGGACAAUGGGCGCAAGCCUGAUCCAGCCAUACCGCGUGGGUGAAGAAGGCCUUCGGGUUGUAAAGCCCUUUUGUUGGGAAAGAAAAGCAGCAGGUUAAUACCCCGCUGUUCUGACGUUACCCAAAGAAUAAGCACCGGCUAACUUCGUG